AAUGAUUUUAUUUAAUAGCCGCAGUAUUUUGACUGUGCAAAGGUAGCAUAAUAAAUUGUCUUUUAAUUGGAGGCUGGAAUGAAUGAUGGGAUGUGAUGAAUGCUGUCUUUAUGAUAAUUGAUUGAAAUUUACUUUUUGAUGAAAAGGUUAAGAUUUAAUUGGUAGACGAGAAGACCCUAUCAAGCUUUAUUUUGGUGAUAGUUUUAUUUUGUUAAUUUGGUUGAAUGGACUUUCAUUUAAAUUUUGUUGGGGCAAUGCUUGAAUAUAUAUUAAUUUUUUGUAUUAUAGUUAGAGUUUGAUCCAUUAUUAGUGAUUUAAUGAAUAAGUUACUGUAGGGAUAACAGCGUAAUUAGUUUGGAGAGUUCAUAUUGGUAAACUGGAUUGCGACCUCGAUGUUGGUUUAGUGAUUCUUUGGGGUGUAGCAGCUUUAUAARAG
RNAcentral lists this ribosomal RNA (436 nucleotides) under Eremochelis branchi. RNAcentral describes it as "partial 16S ribosomal RNA". It matches the Rfam family "Bacterial large subunit ribosomal RNA", at positions 1911 to 2571 of the family's 2925-position model. The record is from RNAcentral. Lineage: Eukaryota; Metazoa; Arthropoda; Arachnida; Solifugae; Eremobatidae.